This 459-nucleotide ribosomal RNA is filed under the name uncultured bacterium. RNAcentral describes it as "partial 16S ribosomal RNA". It matches the Rfam family "Bacterial small subunit ribosomal RNA", at positions 338 to 795 of the family's 1533-position model. The record is from RNAcentral.
CCUACGGGUGGCAGCAGUGAGGAAUAUUGGUCAAUGGCCGGAAGCCUGAACCAGCCAAGUCGCGUGAGGGAGGAAUGCCCUGCGCGUUGUAAACCUCUUUUGCCAGGGAACAAAAGGCCGCACGCGUCCCGUCCUGUGGGUACCCUGUGAAAAAGCAUCGGCAAACGCCGUGCCAGCAGCCGCGGUAAUACGGAGGAUUCGAGCGUUAUCCGGAUUUAUUGGGUUUAAAGGGGGCGAAGGGGGGACUUUAAGCUGGUGGUGAAAUGGCGGGGCUCAACCCAGACGAGCCGUUUGACCUGGGGGCCUUGAGUGGGGGAGAGGUAUGCGGAAUGCGUGGUGUAGCGGUGAAAUGCAUAGAUAUCACGAAGAACUCCGAUUGCGAAGGCAGCGUACCGAGCCGCCACUGACGUUGAGGCACGAAAGCGUGGGGAUCGAACAGGAUUAGAUACCCGGGUAGUC